Long non-coding RNA from Pseudopipra pipra, 13143 nucleotides. RefSeq lists it as uncharacterized. The record is from RefSeq and is a predicted model, not a curated record. NCBI's taxonomy places the organism in Eukaryota, Metazoa, Chordata, Aves, Passeriformes, Pipridae. The transcript has 5 exons.
GUUCUUAGGAGCUUAGUUUUAGAAUUAUUCAUGAUACAAAAUAGUAACUGUAAAUAACUAGUAGGCUGAAUAAUUUAAUUCACUGAAGUGCAGAGAAUACUUGUAAAAAUUGUUUACCAUUACUGGGUAACUAAAGACAAAGGCACCGUGCAGGAUAGCUGGCUGAAAUGGCAGCUUUCAAUAGUCUGUGCAAGUAAAAUUGCCUCAUUUUCCCCUUUGUUUAGAUUUCAUUUUGCAUUGUAUUAUUUUAAGGAGACAUCAUUAAUCUUUCCAGUUUUUCUAUCAUCCCUGGGUCCCCCGUGGCUUGGGACUGCAGAUCUUGAUCAUUUUCAAAGUUCCUGGUGUCAGUACAUCCAUGCAGGACUGUGAUCAGAAAGAGAAAAAUCUUAUGAUGAUGCUGUCUUUGUCCCUAAGAAAGGAGUUGCAAAACCAAGCAGUUCUUUGGAGUCUUAGACUGCAAGUCCCAUAAAACAGUUUGCCAAAUGUGCAAAUUUGGAAACUUUGAUGAAUUUUCAUCGUCUGCUCUGAAAACAAAUUAUUUUUAAUAGUUCUGUAGGCAGCAUGGAUGGGAAGAUUCAUUACAAUCUACUGUAACUACGUCUGUGUAUCCUCUAAACUUUUCUUUACGUGGGUGCUUAAACAUUAUUGUCAGGUGUCUGGUGUGGUUCAUGAGCAGGAUUCCUUCUGUCAUCCACCCAUCAGUUGCAGUUACGAGGUGCUGCCAGGAGAGAAGGAAAUCUCUUGCUGUCUGUACAAGCCACGUUGGCCGUGGCGCCGGGCCCGUGCAGGCAGACAUCGGAGAAGGUUGCCUGUACUGGGGCACUGAGUUGCUCAGCUAGAGCCCUUUUCUCAGUGACAGUUCUGUGUUUUCACAUAGCUUUCUGUCAGGCUUUAAAAUCAAACCAACUUGUGGAAUUGAGAGCUUGCUCAACCCAGAAGGGUGUUGCUCCAGUAACGUAGGAAGCCUCUUCUUAAACUUCUGGUGAAAUCUUGACAAUGUUCCCAUCAGUGGGAAGGUUUGAAGGCUAGAGGUUACCACUGACUUGAGCAGGAUUAGACUUUUGCCUUGUGUGCCUAUACUUGGCUUAUAAUUAAGUUUCCAAUUCAUUUUAUAGAUGCUGAAAAUGUGUGGUGCCAGUUGACUGCUGUAGGACCUCAGUAGGAUGUUCGCAUUUCAAACAACAAAUUUUUUUAUCUCCUAACUUCUGAUGAGAUUUUAAGAGCAAUUUUAGAUGUUUAAACUUGACCUUUCAUCUACUUCAUUAAUUUAAGGAAAGCGGUAGUAUCUGUCCUACCUGUAGCUACUAGUAAGGUGAGCACAGAAAGCCUACAUCAUCAUACAGCAGUCUGGCAAUUUGCUGAAAGUGCAAAUGUUCUCGCUUGCCUACCAGUGAGUUGUCAGCUGGGAUUUCCUUUUCUUUGCUGUAUUAUUCCCUGCUUUCUCUUUGUGCCCUUGCUGUUAAUAAAAAACUCAGUAUAAAAAUCAAAUGGCGAAAACCAGAACUGAUGUAUGAAUAUGGCAUUUAAGAGCUUUUUUUUCCUUUUUUUUUUAAAGAGAGGUAAUAUUUGCUGAAUAUAACCAGUAUGUAUGGCUCUGUGGGUGUACAUACCACUGCAUGUUUCUGAGUUUUUUUGCAAUAAACUACAUGAUCUUACUUUUAACUUUUGUGAUCCCAAAAUCUUAACACCACCCUAUAACAAAUGUUGCAUUUACAUUAGCAGAUCUCAUCACUAUAUAUCCGUGAGUGCUGUGGGGCUCAGAUCAGUUGAAGACUGCUCUAGUUAGGUCUGUGAAAUAAAAUACAUCUCCUAAUCUUAGGUGGAGAAUUUAUGCAAAGAUAAUGUUUAACAAUAAGGAUGCUGAGGAGAAACUAAUCUGAACCGGGUUCUUCACAAGGAAAUUAGUUUGUUAAAUACUGACAGAGAGACUGAGUAAAGGGUAUUUGCUUUUUUUUUGGUACAUGUACACACUAUGAACACAGGAAGAUAGCUGAUUUUUAUUAACUGCAAGGGUGCAUUUUUUACAGUAAAGAAAUCCAUGUGCUUUGAGGAGAUAGUUAAGAUUGUAUUUCCUCAGAAUGAUUAAUGACAAAGGACAUAGAACCAGACACCCAGGCUGACUUUGAGGAUGAGUCAUUCAGAUACAAAUAUUAAGUAAACUGAGUUAUUUUCAUUGUACUUCUCUGAAAUGAUGUUUAGUAUAUAGCCCAACAGUGACAGAUUUUUGGUCUAGCACCUGCAGUGUUCUUUUUAAGCCUUAUGGGUUUUCUUUCUCAUGUAGUGAUAUUUUUUCAUAUCUUAAGAAGACUUACUGAAUUUAAAAACAGUUUCAUACCUUUAUAAACUUCUGUAUGUUAUGUAUUCAUUUGCUUAUUUGAAGAGAGAUAUGACAAGGAGCCAUUUCUGUAUGUAGUGUAUGAAUUCUACUGAAAAGACUUAAUUAUUCACUGUGAAAAUCCAUUUACCACAGGGUAAUUCGUUAUCAUAUAUUCACAGAUGUUUUGACAAGUGAAGUUUGAAAGGUUUCAAAGGAUGACAUUUCCAGCAUCAUCUAUGGAAGACUCUUGAUAAUCAAACAGGAACAUCAGUAUGAACUAUUUCCUAUUUUCAGUGUGCUCCUUUUAUUUUAAAUUCUUUAUAAGGAAAGAAAUUACUCAAUUAUAGUGCUCUUCUGUUCCUCCAUUCAUUCACGAGCACAUCCAACAGUCCUCUAAUAAUAUCUGAACAGGUAGCCAAUUUCAGCCAAAUUUGACUGAGAAUUAGAGGUCUCAAAACUAUUAAGGUCUUACACAUUUCAUGAAAAUUGAUACUAAAAGAGAGAGACUCAAGUUAGUGCCCUGCUGAGCAAAGCUCACUCACAUCUUGCCACAGGGAUUCUGCUUAAGUGAUUGCAAGCUCACACUAGUGAAGUUACACAAAUGUAAGUACUGGCUAGAUCAAGCCUCCAUUUUGUAGUGAACAACAAUAUUGGGUUUUAAAGUUUUUGCAACAAAAGUUUUUCGUGUUCUUUUUGCAUUUGGCCCUCCCUUGACUUUUGUUUUUGGCAACUGAAUUUUUGCUUCUUCAGCAAGAAGCUGCAAACACGUUUUUAAAACUGCACUGGAAUCGAUGUCUGCUGAAUUUCAGGCACUUUGUAACAACCUCUAUGUUAAUCUUACAGUUCAGGUGUUACUAGCAGAUUGUCUUCUGUGACUUGUUAUGAGGAAUCCUGAGAAGUUAUGGCUUGAUUCACUUUCAUUUUAGAUGGAUCAUUAAAACUUUUUUUGGAUGACUGAUAUGAUUUGUUUCAGAGGGAUUAAUGAAAUCCCUCCUGGUAAUGUGAUAGACUAAUUAAGGUUUGUUACUAGGAUAAAACAUGUUGCUUUAAAUAUUUUCAACAUGGUUUAAUUUCCUUUCUUGCCAAAGAACUCUCUUAUUUUCAUAGCAUCUGCCACUUUUAAUCUGUAAAAGUGCAUGGCAGUAUACCUUGGACUACAUUCUUACUGAGGCAGAAGUCCCACUCAUUUCAGGAUUAAAAUUUUAUUGUUAAUUAUAAUGGUUUUAAUCUCAGUUAGUCCUCAGUGGGAAUACAUACAUAAAUAUUUGAAUAAAUCUCUUUAUUAAACCAUUUGUUCUGUCGAAGCUGAAAUAUUUAACACAUCUGCCAGAAAGUGCCAGUUGAACAUGCUGGAUGCAAGCCUCCUAUAUUCACAGGCUUCCAGGCUGGUACCUUGGUACCACAGGUGAAAAUUUAUAGCCACCUGGCACCAGAAUCACUGCCCUGCCGUGUUGCUUGGCUUGGUGGACUUUGAUAUAUCACCUCUCCAUAGGUGACCUAUAUAGGAGUUCCUCUCUAUGGUCGCUCAGGGUCAAGGGCCAAGUGGUCCAUUGACAAUCAUGUCUCUUGCUUCUCUGGGAAGCUGUGCUUGCAUGAUACAAAGCAGAAUACACAGCUCCUAGGGCAUUUUUCUGGAGUUUUCCAGACCAGGUUUUACCAGGUCUGGAAAUUAUGAUCUUUGCUGUUUUCAUGGCCUUGAUCAUGAGCCUACCCACAAGGAAAAUAAGGCUUAAGGCAGCUCAGGAAACUUUUUCCUUAACUUGAUAUAACUUUAAUGCUAUCUCUUUGCUUAUAAUCAUCACCUUGGGUAUUUUCCACACUUUUUCCACUUUUGUGAUUUGUAAUACUGUACUGAACUGCCUUCACUAUUGAUUUAAAACAAAACUGCGUUCAUUUUUCUCACCAUUGUUGAAUGAAACUGUAAAAAUAAGAUCUGUUUGGUAUUUGGAUGCUUCUGGAUACUAAAAUAUUUUGUGUCAUCACUCCCUAAGCACAGGACUCAUGACAAAGCAUCACAUCAGAGUCUGAGUCAUAAAGGACUGUAAGUAAUGUCUGAAUUAAUAUAUGCUUCCUUGGAAGCAUUUCCACAAUUAUGUCUUGAAGCUUUCCCAUCGGUAGGUGCAUUAAUCUGUCCACACCAUGGGAGAAGCAAGAACUGGGUGCUUUUUCUAGGUUUACUCUUUUAUUUUGAGAAAAAUAUAGAAGGCAUAGCUCAUCAAUUUAAGCUGACUUUCCAUCACAGUGUGUGCCAGUGUUGAUAUUUUAGUGCAGAUAAGGAGUGCACUUUGAAACAACACCCCUGAUUGUCCUUACUGACUGUGCUUUGCUUCUCGUCAUGGGGUGGGGUUUGGAGCAUAUGGUCUAGAUUUCUUUGGAUGUAGCUCAAUUGGAGUAUAGAUUUCAGGAGUGCACCUAAGGCACUCCAUGACCACUAGGGCAUUUAGUCUAUGGGACCAGCCAAGAGUUAGUCCAGAGGUCUCUAAAAAAAACCCAAGACAAAAGCAAGAAAAAAACCCUUAAAACGUGUGUACUGUGGAUGUCAAGUAUUUCACCCUGAGUGUUCUGCUCUACCAAUGCUGUACUCCUGGUCUUCUGUGGAUGUGAAAACCACAGCACACAAUGCAGAUGUUACAUGCUUUUGAAGAGAAUAUCUUGGAGUUAUGAGAACAGUAGAACCACCUGUCCAUGUUUCUUCUUUAUCUCUUCAGAAAUUGUUUAAGCUUCCCGAACUCCUUACUGAGCAAGAAUGUAUGGGCACUGUACUGUCUUGUGUUUAGUGUCUGGUUAACCACUACAGCACUGAACCUUGUCAAGACACAUACUUGUAAUGUAUGUUGCCCUUCACUACUAAUUAAAAUCAUCAGCUUCUUUGUGUAUAGGGAGGAUGGGGAAAGCAGAGAGGUUUUCAGAUGUAUAUUAAUUUGUUCUUACACUGAUUUUGCCUUUGUUUCAAAGAAAUUAUUCUAGAGCUGCUCUGUUUUAAACAAUGAGAAAAUUAAGGGUCGUGGCUUGCCAUCGCCAUUUUAUUUAUGUGCCCCAAAAUACCUUGGAGGUUAUUCAAAUAAAUGCACUCCAUUCCAUUUACUUGACUGUCUGAUGGCUUAAUCAUGCAAAUAAAUGUGAGGAUGAUAUUUAUUUGACUGUCCAUCAUGUGGUCUCUUUGACUGGACAGUAAGGCAUACUUUCUUAAUACUUUUUUUUCCCCAAAGAAAAAAAUUAAAUUAAAUGCAAAAAACCCACCCCAUGCUGUAAUGCUACAGUUGAGAUUUUAAACACACAUAAGUCAGGACAUUCAGAGUUAUGACUCCCUAGAGCUUGUAGCUCAGCCAUGUUGUACAUGUGGUGUAGAUUAAAACAGUGAUUUCCUCUCCUUUCUGUAUUCCUUUCUCUUCUGUGUCUUUUCCUCUUUUUCUUUUAGCUCUUUUAUGGUGUCUGUGCUGGAGCUCCUCUGUGGGAUGGGUGAUCCUGCAAAGGCUCUGGUUGACAGGCAUGGAAGCAAAUCCUGUACAUGUGAGACUCUGGUACUGCUUGCAGCAGCAGAGGAGCACAGCAAAGAAAAGAGGGAGCCCAGGGACCACUUCUGGGGAGGCUAGAACCUCUCUGCAUGGGGAUGGUCCUGCCUCCACUUCAUACUCAUCUCACACUAGCUAUUCUGUGCUGUCCAUAUUGCAGAAUUUUCCAGAUAUUUUCCUCUUUUUGCGGGCAACUAGCAACAGGACAAGAGGAAAUGGCCUGAAGCAGUGCCAGGGGAGGUUCAGGUUGGACAUCAGGAGGAGUUUCUUCACUGAAAGGGUAGUCAAGCUGGGAACAGGCUGCCCAGGGAAAUAAUGGAGUCACCAUCCCUGGAGGUGUUUGAGAAAUGACUGGAUGUGGCACUUAGUGCCUCGGUCUAGUUGGACUUGAUGAUCUUGAAGGUCUUUUCCAACCUAAAUGAUUCUAUGAAGUAGCACAUUUUUUUUAUUUUUUUAUUUUUUUUUUUAAUGUGUGUGCACUUGUCUUGACUCUCUUCCUUGCUGUGCUUUAUUUGUGCUGGUCUGUGUUACAGGGACCGGCAAUGGUGUGUGGUAACAUAACAACAAACCUGUAGGUCCUCAUUCUGUGAAUGUCACAGAUACUCUGUGAAUGAGAUAACCAGACAAUGUGAUAACAUUUCUCCAGAGCCAGAUAUAGCCUAUAAAGGAUGACAAUAAAGGAUGGAUGCUUCUCAGCAUUCAUGUUAAUAAAAAUUAUCUGAAAAGAAUAUGUGAGUUCCCACUAUUAUUUCCUGGAUCUUACCCUUUUUCCUUGAUUCUUUUUAUAUUCUGUAUUCCUACAUAACUUGAAGAAAGUAUUAUACACUCUUUCAUGUGGUUACUGUUUCUUUGCUGGCCUCACAAAUAACUUGCAGUGUUUUCUGACUUGGCAUAGUAAAACUCCCAGAGUUCCUCAACAAUAUAAAUUUCUGGAGACCGAUAGGUGUAAAUUGCCCUGAAGAGAAUGCUGGUUUCUUUGCAAGCCUCUAGGCCAAAUCCUGUAAUGGAAGAGCUCAUCUGUCCAACUGCUUUUUUUUUUUUUUUUUACAAGUGCAUAUCAUUAUACCAGUCUCUGGAUUUUCCAAAGAAAAAAUACUUGUAUUUGAGACUGUCAUUAUUAGUAGUUGCAGAUUUUUAAAUUUUAUAAACAUUGAAAUAACUAAAAUAUUAUUCUAAAUCCUUUUGAAAUAAUAGUUUUGGUUUAGUUAUUGUGUGUUAAGCACUUACUGUAGUAAAAAUAAACACAUUUCUAUUUCAACUUAUACAAGCAGGAUAUUAUUUCCCAGCUCCUCAGGGCAGGGAUUGUACUUUUCCUUGUAUCUGCAAAUUAUAUAUUCGAAGAGGGGCUCUAUCCUCCAUACCGCAUCAACAUUAAUACUGAGUGAGGAUCUUCAUAUGGAAAAUAUUGAAUCCGAGUGCACGGAAUUCUGUAAAUACGAGCAGCCUAUUGUACAAUCAUGACAGCACUUUUCUGUUUCAGCUGCUCGUAUUUCUCUCCUUGGUUCCUUUACAUGUCUUUGUUUAAUUGACUGGAGGGGAACAAAGCAGAAAAGUGAGAGCCUAAAAUUAAUAUCUGAAAUGCAGUUGCUCUGAAAAAUCACUUUCUGGUGUUCUAUGAGGUGGCUAAAGGAUUUAUGUUCUGCUAUGUUGAGCGUGAUGAGUACAUGCAUUGCUGAUUUAAGGAGGAAUUCUGUCUCAGGUCUAAAUCUUCCCAGUGCUUCAUGGACUAGUCUCCGCUAUGUGCCAGCCAUGCUCACCCACAUUCCCUUGGGAACAGUGUUCCUGGUGUUGUGGGACUGCUGUGUUUGUGACGAACUCAGAGCUAUUGUUCAGCUGCCUCUCUCCAGCCAGCCAUGUGCACAGUGGCCAGUCACAUUCAGCUCUGGAGCUGGUACACCUUUUUCUGAUGGGUUCAGUUUAUUGGGUUCAAGUUUACCUCCUUUCUAAAGACGGUUCUUUCCUCAGGCAUAUAAGAAAAGAUCAUCCAGACAUAAACAUGCCGCAUCUCACUGUGAUACUGUGACAGUAUCAGUAACAGACUAGCUACUAGUUAGCAAUACUAGUCACAUAAUAGUGUGUCAGUAAACUGUCUGUAAUUAGUGUGCUGUAGCUGUCUUUACACAUUGGCUUCUUGUCUUUACACAGUGGCGUUGUGCUUGGAUGCCUCCCAUGACAGCACGCUCGGUGAGAACCUCAUUGUAUCUGUGCUGACCCCUUGGACAGUAUAUUUGGAACUUUCCUGAUGAACUCUGCCUGUUCCUGCAGGUCAAUAGCUUUAUCGUUUGCUAAAUUCUUGCUUACUUGGUCAUGGAGCCGAAAUCUGAGCAAGGUUGAAGAAGUCCAAGAAAUAAAAGCAGAUGUAAAGGAAUUAGGUUGGAUAUGUGGUUUUAGUCAGUGUUGCCAGUUCAGUUUCUAUUUUACAACAGGCUUUAACAUUGGAUAAAUAUUGUAUUUUUAGUAAAAGAAAAUACUUGCUAGUACAAAAGAAAGUGUAUUCCAAGAUUUAGUGGGAAUUAUACUACCUUUUUGUCCUUGGUCUGAAGAAAGAAAUAAACUAAACUCAUUCAGGGGCCUGGUUUUGAUAAAAUAAGAGGAGAAAUUCAGGGCAAUCACAAAAUGGGAGAAAGUAACAGACAUUAUGAGAAAAUACUGGCUAGAGCAGCAGUCAUUGCCAGCACUAUACUAUAAUUGAGUGUACCAGGUUAUUGGGUUUGUUUUUAAUGAAAUCCUGCAAAAUCCAGUACCUUUUGUCCCUGGUUAAAUAUUUACAGAUUAUAUUUGGAAGUUGCUAUCUGAAUUAAGUUAAAAGAUCCUACUAUUUUGUAUCUCACAUGUUUGCAUAAACCAUAUCAGUUCACAUUUAAUAAGGUUUGCUAUCAAAAGAAACACAAACUGUUUAACUUAACAUCUGCGGCUUUGUCAGGUUUUUAGGGGUUACAUGUCUGAGUAGAUUUAUUUAACUCAAAGAAGGAAUUAUGGAAACAAUUAAAUUUCUUCCAUAUUUUCGUGUCACUGACAGGCUUCCAGUUCAGCUUUACAAUAUGGUGUUUCUUUGUAUGCUGCUAAAGCAAGACAUUCUGCAGGAACAGAAAAUCUACCAUUUUUCUUAUCGCCACAAGCAUAUGAUAUCUGCCAUCAACAGCUGGGAAAAUUUCCAUUAAAAUAAAUAUAAGAGAAAGAAAUAUUUCAAAACACUUUUAAACUAAGUCCCAGUAGGUGUAUAUUGCAAGAGCACACACCAGUGUAACUCUGGAUUAUAUUGAUUUUCAUUUUUUUCAUUCGUUGUGGUAAGGCUGCCUUAGAUUAUUUGUUUAAAUACAUUCACAUAUUUACAUGAAAUUGCUCUGGUUAUGCACAGUGUGCCCACCAUUAAAGGUUACAGUUUGGAUUUGUACUUGCUUAUGGAAGAUAAAAUAAAAGCAACACACUUAAACCUGCCAAUUGUCGUCAAAGAUGCAUUUUUUAAAGGGCUCCCCAUUAAUUCUUUCUUUCUUUGUGAACUACUAUUGUAAAUAUGAUGCUGCUGUCCCACAGCAAGUAUCUAUCUGGAAAGCCAGGUUAUUUUCAAAAGCAGUAAAAAACAUGCAUAGUGAGAAAAAUUACUCGAUAGUUCAUCGUGUCCUUCCUGCUUCUAACAAAAAAUUGUUCAAUACAAUGUAUUUUCCAUUAUUUUGCCCUCUCCACUGGCAUACAGUUCUCUAUACUUUCCUGAUGAAGUCUACUCUUGUGCACAUCUAGUUAUUACAAUCUUUUGCAAGUCUGUAAAUCCUCCUAAGAGAAUCCCUCUUUUCUCUGUUGCAUUCUCUUACAGUGCCCUCCACAACUUUUCCCAAUGGUAGAGAUUCUGAGUGGUUGCCACUGUCAUGACAUAAGAAUAAUUUACAUUCUUCUAGUCUGCCUAAGAGGAACUAGUCCUUCAUAGGAUUUGUAGGAUCCAGCUGGAACCAGUUAAACUUUUUUAGAGCUCCAUCUUUGUGACCAGCUCAGAUCAACUAAGGAAAGGAGAAAGCUUGUCCUCUUUUUCAUCUCAUUGGCACAGGGCAGUGUAUUUGAAAUGUAUCAGACAAAGCAAGAAUAUUUGAACUCUUUUAUUUACUGUAGCUUUACGCUAAUCAUCAUUGUUCUCUCGGUCAGCCUCUAUGGAAAAAAAUGCAGUAUCCCUCAUCUUGAUUCACCUGAGAGAACUACACUGCCUGAGCUAUUGUGAAGAGAGAAAAGCAAACUAGAUUUAAUUUUGGGCAAGAUUUGUAUUGGAGACCCCAGAUCCGGACACACCACUCCAGGUGGGGUCUUGCCAGAGUGAAGUAGAGGGGCAGAAACCCCUCCCUCGCCCUGCUGGCCAUGCUGCUUUUGAUACAGUCCAACACAUGUUUGACUUUCUGGGCUGCAAGUGCACAUUGCCAGGUCAUGUCCAGCCACUCAUCCACCAGCACCCCCAAGUCCUUCCUGGCAGGGCUGCUCUCCAUCUGUUUAACCUCCAGCCUCUUUGAUACCGAGGGUUGCCUCGACCCAGGUGCAGCGUCUUGCACUGGAUCAUAUUGAAGCUCAUGAGCCACCUUCCUGAGCUUGUCCAGAUCCCUCUGGGUGGCAUCCUGUCCUUCACAUGUGUCAACUACAGCACUCAGCUUAGUGUCAUCUGCAAAUUUGAUAAGGGUGCACUCAUUCCCUUCAUUUGUGUCAUUAAUGAAGAUAUUAAAUAUGACUCAUCCCCAUACGGAUCCCUGGGGGACACCACUUGUCACUGAUGUCCAUUGGGACUCUGAGCUGUUGACCACUACCCUCUGGAUGCAACCAGCCAACCACACUUAUCCAUCUAACAGUCCACUCAUCAAAUCCAUCUCUCCCCAAUUUAGAGAGAAGGAUGUUGUGGGAGCCUGUGCCAAAAGCUUUACAGAAGUCCAGAUAAAUGCCUUGUGGAUGGCAUGAAAAUGUAAGAACCACCAAAAUAGAAGGGCAGCUGUCUCUAGUUUUUCACUGGUUUAAAAACUACUGAUAAUCCUAAAAUAAGUUAAGGUCUGCUCAGUAACCUGAGACAGUAGAAUGUUGUUAUUCUGUAUGUCUGAAUGCCAGUUUGAGCAUUUUUUGGAAGGUGGAGAAACGCGAAAGGUUUCAUCCCUUUGUCCAUGUUCUUGCACCUGACACACAUGCUCCAACACUAGGAGACUGGAGGACUGUUGGGUUGGGUCACUCAGCUUUCUUCAGACAGGAAACACUCAGAGGCACAUCGUGCUUCAGACUGUUAAGUGAGAGUGUUGCUCCAGAGGGAAAUGUCUCUGAAUUAAAACAUACUUGUUCUCACCUGUAUGAAAUUACCUGUUUUUUGGCAAGUAGAGCUUAUUCUAUCCCCCUGUGUAGUAGUUGGCUUUUGGAUUUUUUAGGCCUUCCUUAGCAAUGGGGGUCAGAAAUCUAAGGAAGUAUUCCAUAUCAUCCUUAAGCGUAACACAACAUAUAAAUAAGGCGCAGAUAAGAGAGUUCACCCUCUUCUCUCUUCUGGUGGCUGAAGGCGACAGGUCUCUCCACAGACGGUCUUUGCUUGUAUAGGCCAGGGCCUGCCUGCUUAGACCUGCCGUUAUCUCUGGUCCUUCUGGGAGGCGUGGGGAGUUGGCUGGUGCCUCGCACAGUUCUGUUGUCUUGUUCAGGGAAGUAUUUAAUUUGGUUUUUUAUUUGUUUAUUCGCUAGCUCUCUAUUAGCGGUGUAUAUUUGGAGGGAAUUUGUUUUUAGGGUUUUUUUAUCCCUGUUUCCCCCUCCCUUUUCCCUUUUUUCCCCCUCGGGAGCUUCCUAUUGUGUGUAUAAUAUAUUCAAAUUGUAUAUAUAAUUGUAAAUAUAUGUAAAUAUAUAUUUUUGAUAUAAUUUCAUUUUUGUUUGGACUUCCUUCGGUUUUUCUGUGGUUUUUUUUUUUUUUCCCUCGCUUGACAGAGCGGGAGGGGGGGAGGAGACAGCUUAGGCUGGGCAAGAGAGCCAGGCCAAACUUACACAAAUUCUCUGUCAAUCCCUCUUUGUGCCAAGUGGAGAGCAGAGAUGGAAGAUGAUCUGCUAAUGGCAGAGCUGAAGAAAAUUGCCUGCAUGCCUAAAACUAACAAUGAUUCCAGCUCUGGAGACACUGGUUCAAAACUGGUAUCACGACAAUAAGUAUCACAUAUCCUUGUAUUUGAAGGCAUUUACCAUCAUCAAGAAAGGCUGGAGAGGAGCCACCUCAGCUGAUGGGAGGGACCCCCUGCACAGCCUGUGCAGCACAAGGGCAACACGCUGGCAGGGCAUCAGGGCCUCUCCCAGUCCUCAGAAACAAAUGAGAUCAAAUGAUCUCAUGUAUCCCGUUUUUAGCCUAAAAGACUUUUCUGCUGUUUUUUCUCAGAGUUUCUACCCAAACCCAGCAGUUUUGGGUGUGCCCACAGCACCUCCUGCCAGCCACGGAGCCGCAACGUGAGUGGAGCAGCACCUCAGGCUCGUCUGUCUGUUCCAGCAACUGAGAGGUGUUGCUUUGCUUCAGCACAAUGGAGUGAGGUUUUGUAAUGAAACCAGCUCUGGAAUUCAUAUUUCCAGAUAAAUAAUAAAGGAAAAGUGGAUGUUUCUGCCUCCUGAUUCUGGGACUAACAGCUAAGUUUAUUUCCUGAUUAGUCCCUAUACGAAGCCUCCAUUGAUUUUAACAAAAUUAAGUUUAUGACAUAUAAACAUAUCUACUUAUAGGCUGCAGCCGUGUUCCAGCUUUAUGUGAUUGGGGCAUCUGAAGAAGGCUCAAGAGGAGUGGCAGAGGUGCUUGGAGUAUUGAAUCUUGCAGUUCAGUGAACAUGUGUUAGAAACAGUAGUGGAGGAGGAUCGAACUGACUCAUACAUAGAUCAGGGUCACAGUCUGGUGCUCACCAAAGGAGAUAAGCUUCCCCAUCUGCGUUUUGAGUGCAAGCACAUGCUGAAAGUGGGAGGAGGGUUUUGCUGAGACGACAGAAGCAUAUGUGCAGAGAAUGUCUAUUCUUGCAUGUAGCUCUCUUCUGCAAAAUACCAGUGAUCAAGAAGAUACUGGAGCUUGCGUUGUAGAUUGUUACAUUUAUGGAAUUGAGAACAAGGAUAAAAAUGUAAGUAAAAUGAUAAAAAAGUCAAGAAAGGGAGAGAGCAAAGACCUGCUUGUGAGCCUUUACCUUGAAGACAUGGCCAUGCAUCCCAGAGGGGUGAAAGGAAUGCCUUGGAGAAGGCAGGAUGGCAAGAAGCCCUCUUCAACCUCUGGAUGUUCAGCACACAAAUCCCUGAGAAGGCCAGGAUUUCUUGAGAAUACUUUCUUCCAUUAAUUUUUACAGCAAAUAAAGUAGUUGAAGAACGUGGAAA